This 233-nucleotide ribosomal RNA is filed under the name uncultured bacterium. RNAcentral's name for it is "partial 16S ribosomal RNA". It matches the Rfam family "Bacterial small subunit ribosomal RNA", at positions 15 to 259 of the family's 1533-position model. The record is from RNAcentral.
GAUCCUGCUCAGGAUGAACGCUGGCGGCGUGCAUAACACAUUCAAGUCGAACGAGGCAGCAAUGCCUAGUGGCGGACGGGUGAGUAACGCGUGAGCAACCUGCCCUUGCGUGGGGGAUACCAUCUGGAAACGGAUGUUAAUACCGCAUAAAGUACAAGCGACCGCAUGGUCGUAGUACCAAAGAUUUAUUGCGCAAGGAUGGGCUCGCGUCCCAUUAGAUAGUUGGUGAGGUG